Long non-coding RNA from Mercurialis annua (annual mercury), 5477 nucleotides. RefSeq lists it as uncharacterized. The record is from RefSeq and is a predicted model, not a curated record. The transcript has 3 exons. Lineage: Eukaryota; Viridiplantae; Streptophyta; Magnoliopsida; Malpighiales; Euphorbiaceae.
UAAAAUAUUAUUAAUUAGUUCGGUAAUUAAUGGAAUAAGGGUAAUGUGAUAAAAGGGAAAUAUGGUAAUUUGAUUAGUUUAGUGAAACUAAUUAAAGAGAUAAAAGAAAAAGAAUUAUUUGUGAUUAAUUAUGAAAGGCCAUAGAUGUGGAAUGAACCUUGAAUUUAUUUCAAGUGUUUUCCUGAAUCGAACCCGAUAUAGUAGGUUCGUAAUUCUCGAAUAGUCGAGAAUGAGAAGGAAUUGUGAAUCGGUUACGUUGAAAUAACGACCGAAAAUGAUAGUGUUUUGUGAAAAGUUUUUAAUGUGAUGAUUGUUUGUAUACGAUAUGAUAUCGUAUUUAUGUGGCUACGUGUUUAGAGGUCGGUAAUAGAUUUAGAAUUCUAUUUUGAAAUCGACUUAACACGAUUCCUGAAUAUAGAUGUGACGGAAAGUCAACUAUUGACGGAUCAAAUUGAAGGAGCACCGGUUGGAAUAGACCGAGUGGCUAAUAGUGGAUCAUCGUGGCGUAUUUAAUUAUUUAUGGAGCGACAGUCUGAAUAUUGCCUGUGUUUGGACGAGACUUCAUCUUUUUGAUUCUUGAAGUCUUCGUUUUGCGUAUAUGGUAAUUGGUCUUAUUUUGAUCUGUAGAGCUGCAGUAGAAUAGAUAGACAGACGCCUUAGCAUGUCAGUAUUUGCGAUAUUUGCCACGCAUGAACUCUGUUUUGUUUUCAUCGCACGAUUAUAAUAUAAUUUAACGACAUGCAUUAAGGUAUUGGAAAAUAGUUGCAACCCGGGUACACGGUAGUACCGGGAGUUUUGAGAUACAGUGUAAAGGAAACUGUACGCAACUAUGUUAUGUGUAUAAUAUGGGGCCCAGCGUGGCUAUAUGCAUGAUUGCAUGUUAUCGGUUUUGUAAAAGACGGUAUUCGAGGGAUACGCGUUAAAACGAUAACUAGUAAUUGAAAAGUAACGGUUUUAAUUUAAUGAAUGUAUUUGCAUAAUGAAAUGCAUUUAAAUCCAUAAUGAAAUGGUCUGCAUAGUGAAAUGCAGUUAUCACCAUAAUGAGAUGGUGUGUGCAUAAUGAGAUGCAUUAUUAACCCCAGUGUAGUGGGUAUGAAACUUGAAUACAUUAAUUAAAUAGGAAAUUAAUUGUAAAGUUUCAUUAUGAUUUUAUCGGAACGUUUUUAAACGGAGAUUUUAAAAUGUUCGAAAAUGUGUUUUGAAUUCCGCGAAAAAUUUGAAGUGAUUUUUAAAGUGUUUUUAAGGCUUGCUACGGGUUUUGGAGCAACCACUCCCAUUCCCUAGCGCCGGUCUCGACGCCAAGAAUCGGGUCGUGACAAAGGUGGUAUCAGAGCAAUGGUCGAUGAGUUGGGCCAUUGCGUGAUAAUGUGUGAGCAAUAUUCGAAAAAGUUGAAUUAUUGCAUAGUGAUAAAGAGUAAAGGCUUAGAAAUGUCUAUCGUGUUCCUAGGAAUUGAUUAGUAUUCAUAGGAAUCUACUGCAGCAUAUAAGAAUUCGAAUCAUGUCUUUGUUAUGUCAUCGUUUUCAAAAUCCUCGAUCUUCAGCUUUCCCUUAGGAAGUGAGUAUGUGAUUAUGUGAUUAUGUGCUUAUUUGCAAUUCUAUGAUUCGUUGAUUAAAGUUGAUUUCGGUUAAUGAAAACCGAAUAUGAUUGCAUGAUUUUUAGUAUUUAAAACGUGCAAAAUGUGAUAUGUGGGAAGUAUGAAAAUUAAUUGUUUAAUUGUUAUAUGAGGAAGUUAUAUGGUUUAUGUUUGGCUAUUCGAUGAUUAUGUGUUUAAAGAAUGAUGUGCGAUUUGUUUGCGCAUUUGAAUUUGAUUGGUUGCUAAGUGAGCAACGUGAUUUGAUUAGAAUGAGUGGCUAAAAAUAAGUGGAAACUCAUGUUGUAGAAGUAGAACAUGAUAAAGAGGAGACUCAUGAUGAGACCUCUGUUAAGGGUAAAGGAAAUGCCCAUUACCUAUAGUAGGUAAAAAUCGUGAAUGAUAGAUGAUAAUAGAGAUCGAGGCGUUAUCGUUGACAUUUCAAUGGUCAACGAAAAAUAAAGUGAGAACGAUUUCUACAGAGUCGAAAAGAUGUCUAAGGCAAACUUAUUAAAACAAAAUUUAUGGAUUGUUUUCAAAUGAAUUUGUUUCAAAAAAAAAAAAAAAAAAAUUGUGCGCACAAGAAAAAGAAAGUUUUAACGAUAUUUCUUUGAUUUCAAAAAAAUGAGAAUUCUGAAAGGUUAUUGAAAAGAAAAAGGGGACGCCCUAAUUUUUAAAGUGAAUUUGAGUUUCAAAUAAGUAUUGCUGGACACAACUCUGUAGUAUCGAAAGAAGUUUGAGAUAAUCAAUAUUGUUCGUGGGACAAAGAAUUCAAGUACGUUCUGAUAUUCAAGUAUAAGGAGAAAUUCUUAUCGAAUAUCCGGAUUUCUACCCGAGUAGAAAUUCGAUAGCGAUAGAGUAGAAUUAUCAGGUAUUUUAGAUGAUAAUACUGAUAAUGUAAGCUAGGUAUAUCCUUUGAGAUAUAAGGAUUACGCGGCGGACCGAGCGAAUAGAUCGAUUAAGCGUACGCUAGCGAGAUGUUGCACUAAAGAUAGAGUAGUUAGUACGAAAUGUAGAAAGACAUUGAGUAAGUGGUAACAAUUGGAUGUGUAGAACCAUCCUAUUAUAAUAAGUAAGUGCGUUUGUGGUUAAAGACGAUGUUAAUGCCAAAGUAUAAUUUCAUCUUUUACGAAAUAUGAUGAAAUGGAAAGGGAGUAAUCCUGAAAUAAAGAGUAGAGGUGAAUAAAGGAUUAAUAGAAAAGAGUAUGGAAAGUGAUUACGAUCAAAGAUAAUCGGUAAAUCUUGUGUAUUGGUCAUGAACGGAAUUCAUGAAUUAUUUAAAGAAAAAUAAGUAUAAAUGGAAGAGCAGAUAAGUGAAAGUUAGCAUUGAAGCUAUAUAAAGUGAUGAACAAGAAUUUAAAGAUUGUCGUAGUGAGAAUAAAAAAAAAUCAAAUGAGAAAGGUGAUUAAGAGGCAAAGUGAUUGGAAUAAGGAUGUGUGUUCUCUGACGAAUAAAGUCAUGAGUAGAAAGUGAUGUGAUAAGGAGACAAGAUAAUUGGGUACCAGAAAUAUCUUUUCUGACGCCUAGAAAGGUAGUAGAAGGUUGUAUGCGUGUGCUCAAGAUAGAGACACGAGUUGUAUGAUGUAAUUAGUGAGAUUUUCACGAAUCAAAGUGAAUGGAAUCUCAGGCUGAGAAAUUGAUUUAGAAAAUUUCGAAGCUAUGAUUACACUGCAAAAACAUUACAGAAUAGGAAAUGUUAUGGCAAAUGUGUUGAGUACAAAAUCUUCAGAUAGUCUCACGCGUAAUGCAAAAGCAUUGACUAAAUUCUUAACUCAGAAAUAUUAUAAUUUUCUAGAGAAAGAAUUCUGUGGUAGAAGGAGGUAAGUUUCGGUGUGGGAAAUUGAUUAUUGGCAUAUGAAUUAAGGAGUUAUGAAGUAAUGAAGUGUAUUUGGCGAAAGAAUCGUCACAAGUUAAUUCUGGAAUUGAUUCAGAUUAAAGAGAAAAAAAGGGAGAGAAUCUAAGGACGUUACGAAAUAGAAAGUACAGUGACGCAAUGGUGUAAGAAAAAGCUAAAAGAAUAAGAUUUGAUAUAAGAAAGUGGUAAGUACGAGUUUGACAUGUGAAACUCGGAAAACAUAAAGAUGAGUGCAGGAGUUGUAAAGAUGUAGUCAAUAUGAAAACUGUGAGAGAAAUAUAAAUAAGAUAGUGAUAUUUGGAUGAGAACGCAGUGAGAGUGAUAGGUAGAGUCGGUAAACAUUAACAAAAAGUAAAAGUAAUUAAUGAGAUAAGGACCAAUGAAAGAAUUUUAUAUAUUGGAAAAGAGAAGAGGUAAAGUAUCAGAGUAGCGCAGUGGAAGCGCAAAGGAUUUAUAUUUUACACUAAAAUGAGUAACUGGUAAGCACAAACGAGUUUUAAGCAAUUCGAGGACGAAUUGUUUUUAAGUGGGGGAGAAUGUAAUACCCCGAAAAUUUAAGGAUGUAAUCUUAAAAGAACGGACGGUGAGAUUAGUCCCGUUGACUUUUAGGCCGGGAAUAGAAAAGUUAAUUUGACAAUUUAAGGCUUUAAUCGAGUCAAAUUGUGUGAAUUAUGUGAUUACGUGUUAGAAAUAGAUUGCGUGCUAUUUGAAAAUUGAUUUGUUAUGUGCAGUGGCAUUUUCGUAAAUAAAUGCAAAAUAUUUUAAAAUGGAUUUUGUAAAUAUUUAAAUGGGUUAAAAUAUGAAAUUUGACUUUUAGAGCUAAAAUAAAUAUUUGUGGAUGCAUUGGUAGAACAUAUUUUAUUUGUUUUAAAAAAAAAACGGUAUUUAAUUAAUCAUAAAAAUAAAUAUACUAUAAAAUAUAGUGUAGAGACUAAAAGGAGAACAAAUGGGGUGUAAGGGUUGUGACACAUGUAGAUACAUGUGUCAUGGAAACAAAAAGGGGUUGACACAUGUAAAGACAUGUGUCACCAUUUUGGAAAGAACUUGGAAGUUAAGUUUCCAAGGUGACAAAAUGUUUUGUUUUAUUAACAAAAAUGGCAAUUUCCUUUCUUUCUCUUUUAAAACAAAAGCUUCCAUUUUCUAUUUUUCUUACCAAAACCGUAACACCCCCACCAAGAAGAAGACUCUAGUUUCUUUUGAUUCUUGUACUUUUUCAAAACUACAACAAGAUGUGACGGAAAGUCAACUAUUGACGGAUCAAAUUGAAGGAGCACCGGUUGGAAUAGACCGAGUGGCUAAUAGUGGAUCAUCGUGGCGUAUUUAAUUAUUUAUGGAGCGACAGUCUGUGAGUUUGCAUUUUUACAUGCAUACAUUAAAGUAAUAAAAUUACUAUUAUUACUUUAAUGUGGAAAUUAAUGUCAUAAAGCAUUUUAAAUAUAUCGUAUAUUUAUUUUGAGUAAAUAAAAUUAUUAUGGAAUGAGUCUACGAAACGUGCCAUCCUAUUGGGCUAUAAUAGGACUAUGUGAUCACUAGUUAUUGCAUGCAUAUUUAUUUUAUGAGUAAAGUGGAAUGGCUGUGUGAAUCUAGACGACGGUCUAGAAGUCUGAGACGACGGUCCAGACAUAGCGGGAGAGCUUCUAAGACGACGGUCUAGAACCCCGAACAAGUUAACGGCGAUGGAACGAUAGAGUUCGGCCGAUUAAUUUAAGGACUAACGGCGUCAUGGAACAUUAAAUGUUAUCGGUCGUUGAGUCCAUGAGAAAAGUUGGAAACAGUCUAAAGAAAGGUUUAGAACUGUAAAGGAUUGUGGAAAAAUAAACUAGAGUCGAGCGAAUGUACGGGUUCAGCCGACUAGUUUAUUAACCUAAGUCUGAAAGGAGACUUAGAGGGAAAUGGAUUAGAAAUGGCAUUUCAUUUAAAGCAUUACGUUUCUGUGAUUAAACCGGUAAUAAAUAUUUUAAUAUGUCUAUUUUAUAACGUGGUAAAGUAUUUAAUGUGUGUUUGUAAGUUGUAAACUCACCAGUAUAUCUGACCCACGUUGUGGAACUAUU